UCGCUCAGGAUGAACGCGGGCGGCGUGCCUAAUACAUGCAAGUCGAGCGAACAGACGAGGAGCUUGCUCCUCUGACGUAGCGGCGGACGGGUGAGUAACACGUGGAUAACCUACCUAUAAGACUGGGAUAACUUCGGGAAACCGGAGCUAAUACCGGAUAAUAUAUUGAACCGCAUGGUUCAAUAGUGAAAGACGGUUUUGCUGUCACUUAUAGAUGGAUCCGCGCCGCAUUAGCUAGUUGGUAAGGUAACGGCUUACCAAGGCAACGAUGCGUAGCCGACCUGAGAGGGUGAUCGGCCACACUGGAACUGAGACACGGUCCAGACUCCUACGGGAGGCAGCAGUAGGGAAUCUUCCGCAAUGGGCGAAAGCCUGACGGAGCAACGCCGCGUGAGUGAUGAAGGUCUUCGGAUCGUAAAACUCUGUUAUUAGGGAAGAACAAAUGUGUAAGUAACUAUGCACGUCUUGACGGUACCUAAUCAGAAAGCCACGGCUAACUACGUGCCAGCAGCCGCGGUAAUACGUAGGUGGCAAGCGUUAUCCGGAAUUAUUGGGCGUAAAGCGCGCGUAGGCGGUUUUUUAAGUCUGAUGUGAAAGCCCACGGCUCAACCGUGGAGGGUCAUUGGAAACUGGAAAACUUGAGUGCAGAAGAGGAAAGUGGAAUUCCAUGUGUAGCGGUGAAAUGCGCAGAGAUAUGGAGGAACACCAGUGGCGAAGGCGACUUUCUGGUCUGUAACUGACGCUGAUGUGCGAAAGCGUGGGGAUCAAACAGGAUUAGAUACCCUGGUAGUCCACGCCGUAAACGAUGAGUGCUAAGUGUUAGGGGGUUUCCGCCCCUUAGUGCUGCAGCUAACGCAUUAAGCACUCCGCCUGGGAGACACCCACUGG
This 888-nucleotide ribosomal RNA is filed under the name Staphylococcus sp. M_A_08/11_1_2. Its description in RNAcentral is "bacterial SSU rRNA". It matches the Rfam family "Bacterial small subunit ribosomal RNA", at positions 20 to 892 of the family's 1533-position model. The record is from RNAcentral. Lineage: Bacteria; Bacillati; Bacillota; Bacilli; Caryophanales; Staphylococcaceae.